GAUGAACGCUGGCGGCGUGCCUAAUACAUGCAAGUCGAGCGAACAGAUGAGGAGCUUGCUCCUCUGACGUUAGCGGCGGACGGGUGAGUAACACGUGGAUAACCUACCUAUAAGACUGGGAUAACUUCGGGAAACCGGAGCUAAUACCGGAUAAUAUAUUGAACCGCAUGGUUCAAUAGUGAAAGACGGUUUUGCUGUCACUUAUAGAUGGAUCCGCGCCGCAUUAGCUAGUUGGUAAGGUAACGGCUUACCAAGGCAACGAUGCGUAGCCGACCUGAGAGGGUGAUCGGCCACACUGGAACUGAGACACGGUCCAGACUCCUACGGGAGGCAGCAGUAGGGAAUCUUCCGCAAUGGGCGAAAGCCUGACGGAGCAACGCCGCGUGAGUGAUGAAGGUCUUCGGAUCGUAAAACUCUGUUAUUAGGGAAGAACAAAUGUGUAAGUAACUAUGCACGUCUCGACGGUACCGAAUCAGAAAGCCACGGCGAACUACGU
RNAcentral lists this ribosomal RNA (496 nucleotides) under uncultured bacterium. RNAcentral describes it as "partial 16S ribosomal RNA". It matches the Rfam family "Bacterial small subunit ribosomal RNA", at positions 28 to 506 of the family's 1533-position model. The record is from RNAcentral.